AGAGAGAGAGAGAGAGAGCAGAAGGAGAUAGCAAGAGUGAGAGCGGCACGUGUUGGCCGCCUUUUUGUGCAACUGAAGCGCGUAAUUUGUUGGACAAGCCAUAAAUAAAUAUGAAACAUAAACGCAUAAAAAAUCAAA
Molecule: long non-coding RNA, 138 nt
Organism: Drosophila innubila
Lineage: Eukaryota; Metazoa; Arthropoda; Insecta; Diptera; Drosophilidae
Exons: 2
Source: RefSeq, a predicted model, not a curated record